AGUCGUCUCCAUCUUUUGAUUCUUUUCCCUCCUCCAACGGUCGCCAUCCACCGGCAACCAGAAGCACCGCCGUGAGCCACCCACAGGCUCCCACGAGCUCGUCCCUCUCCCACGUACUGUUGUCGAGGAGAUCGUUCCCGAAGCAACCCACCAGCUCCUCCGUCUUCCACAAGUUCCUCCCUCUCCCACCAUGGUUCUCCCUCUCCUCCCUUCAGCACACUCCCGCUUCUGAGGAGCCACCACCACCGUACGGCCACGACGACCCAUCAUCUUUGCCCGCAGUACAUCUCCGACGACCCAUCACCACCGCCGACAAGCCGAGACAUCAAAAGAGAUUUGUGUUGUGUAGUUUGGAAUAAGGCUUCUAGUUUUGGACUUCCGAGUUGAUCAUCGUUUUGGGUAGUGCUCUUCUGCACAUAAGAAUGGACGCCAAGAGGUUCAUCCAAUUGGUCGAAGAGAAAAAGGAGAGAACUUUGGAGAAGAAAGAAGCCCCUUUGAAAUGGGAGCAGAAAGCUGGAAGCCGCUGCCAAGGCAAAGGCUGAUGCCGAAGCCAAAGAGAGGAUGCUGAAGGCUGCAAAGCAUAAAAGAAGAUCUAUGUCCGAUUCUGAUAGUGGCAGGAAGCAUGCCCACUCUGACUCAGGCGGUGACAAAAUAGUUUGUGUUGAAAAAAAAAAAAUAUCGGAUACAUUUAUAGUCUGUGUUGGAAUUAUGGCUAUGUAAUAUAGAGGCCUUUCCUUUCGUGUAAUUUAUGAAAAUA
This is a non-coding RNA of Corylus avellana, 757 nucleotides long. NCBI's taxonomy places the organism in Eukaryota, Viridiplantae, Streptophyta, Magnoliopsida, Fagales, Betulaceae. The record is from RefSeq and is a predicted model, not a curated record.